RNAcentral lists this ribosomal RNA (83 nucleotides) under Saccharothrix sp. NRRL B-16348. RNAcentral also lists the same sequence under 1 other name. The record is from RNAcentral. Lineage: Bacteria; Bacillati; Actinomycetota; Actinomycetes; Pseudonocardiales; Pseudonocardiaceae.
UUCGGUGGUCAUAGCGGUUGGGGAACACCCGGUCCCAUUCCGAACCCGGUAGUUAAGCCUUCCAGCGCCGAUGGUACUGCACU